Vidua chalybeata is the source of this 1400-nucleotide long non-coding RNA. RefSeq lists it as uncharacterized. NCBI's taxonomy places the organism in Eukaryota, Metazoa, Chordata, Aves, Passeriformes, Viduidae. The transcript is spliced from 3 exons. The record is from RefSeq and is a predicted model, not a curated record.
UUCAACUAAACCCACAAUCCUCAAAAUUUAUUUUGACAUAAGUUUCAAAUAAAGUUGAAGCUCUUGUAAGGUAUGAAGAGAAGCUUAGUUGUGUAGAGGAAAUGCUCCUCACUUUGAAGAUCUCAUUUGAAGAGCCAAUGGAGAAUGCCCUGAAAUUAAAAAUAUUUCAGAGACAAAAGGAGGGAAUCACAGAGACACAAGAAAGAAAGGAUCUGCUCUUCUCUGUCUGCAGCCUUGGUGAGGCAGAGCAUCAUAGGAAGAGGAACAUGAAUUCCUGGGAGACAAGUACGGAUGCAGAGGAAGAGGAAAGACAAGACUUGAUCAUCUAAGAAAGAGUGCAGGCUCCUAAGUAAAGCUGUGAGAUGACAAGAGUUGUGCUAUUAUGUAUUAUUAUGUAUAGAAGGCCAGAGUUGAGAGUCUUGUUUCUUGAGGGUGAUGUCCUGGCAGAUACACCUGUGCACAUGUUGUAGUAUAAUCCAGUGCAUCUGUGCAUCCAUCUAUGCUGCAAAUGGCACGGGAGUGAUAUUUUUAAAAAAGAAGAAGAAAUGAAACCACCCUGUUGGAGAGCUUUAUAAUGCUCAGCUGCUCCCGAGGACUGCUUGGUGUAGCUACAGCAGGCAAAACAUCCCUCCCAUCUAGUCACUGGCACACAGCACUGCAAUCCAUUUAUGUGAGCACCUGGUUUAUCAGUUUGCCUGUGACAGAUCUUGGCACACCCUCUCCUCUGGCUGUAAAGCUUUACUGACUUGUGUGGUUUUUCUCCCACAAACUCUUGUCUGGCAUGGGAGGACUUGGAAUAGAUCAACUGUGGCUCUGGCAACAACAGGAAAGUACAUUUUAGAUAACCCUUUAUGGUGCAAGCUUUGUAGCCAUUUAAGGGCUUUUCUGUGGGGUUGGAGAAGAAGGGCUGUCCAUCAUCCAAAGUCUAUUGCUGUGGGAAGGGUGCCUGUGACUGCAAAGGUCUUUGGCAAAGGCCACAAGCAUCUGAAGGCUGCUCUGAGAAAUAGAUAUGGGCUCACAGUUCCCCACAGGCUACUGUGCAGAAGUGCGCAGUCUUCCACCGGUCAUCCCAGUGCAUCAUUCAUUAAACAUAACACCCUACAGGAAAAUCAAGGCUUUGUGUUUUCCAUACCUCCUCCUGCAUCAGCCCUGACGUCAGUAGUUUGGAACCACGGAAGUUAAAUUAAGGCCAGUGCAGUCUAAUAGGCAAGGGAUGGCAAAUGCUAAGAAGUCAAGGUAAUGAGAAAAUACCUGCCAUCUGGAGCUGUCAUAAGCAUGAAUUUACAUCUCUCCCCACAAAAUAAAUAAAUAACAGCAUGCAAAACAUUACUCUCCCUGGAUGCAAAGUCCCACUCCUGCCACUGCCACCAAAAAUUUUGGCCUCCCCAUGUUCUGCGUGG